GACGAACGCUGGCGGCGUGCUUAACACAUGCAAGUCGAACGGUGAAGCUCCAGCUUGCUGGAGUGGAUCAGUGGCGAACGGGUGAGUAACACGUGAGCAACCUGCCCCUGACUCUGGAAUAAGCGCUGGAAACGGCGUCUAAUACUGGAUACGAGAAGGGUCCGCAUGGGCACUUUCUGGAAAGUUUUUCGGUUGGGGAUGGGCUCGCGGCCUAUCAGCUUGUUGGUGAGGUAAUGGCUCACCAAGGCGACGACGGGUAGCCGGCCUGAGAGGGCGACCGGCCACACUGGGACUGAGACACGGCCCAGACUCCUACGGGGGCAGCAGUGGGGAAUAUUGCACAAUGGGCGAAAGCCUGAUGCAGCGACGCCGCGUGAGGGAUGACGGCCUUCGGGUUGUAAACCUCUUUCAGCAGGGAAGAAGCGAAAGUGACGGUACCUGCAGAAGAAGCACCGGCUAACUACGUG
Molecule: ribosomal RNA, 467 nt
Filed under: uncultured bacterium
Lineage: Bacteria
Description: partial 16S ribosomal RNA
Rfam family: Bacterial small subunit ribosomal RNA
Source: RNAcentral